Molecule: long non-coding RNA, 3637 nt
Organism: Apis mellifera (honey bee)
Lineage: Eukaryota; Metazoa; Arthropoda; Insecta; Hymenoptera; Apidae
Exons: 3
Source: RefSeq, a predicted model, not a curated record
CUCUUCCUGUGUGUACUGUCGGCUUCACCCCGAGACAAUAAAUUGUUGUAAUUAUAAUAAUCCUGGUGUUUAAAUCAGUGCUUGGUGUUUACGCGGAGGCAACCGUGUAACCGCGUCAAAUCGGCCAAUGAGGAACAAUAAGGAAGAAACCAGGCCUUUUUUUUCGAGAAUCAGAGUGGCACAUUCGACUGAUCGUCUCAUCAUCGAUAGAUCCAGCGUGCAGCUUUCUAAACAUCGACUAAUUACCCCGAUGAGGAUGCAGAGAGUUGCAAUCCCCGAAGAAGCGUUGCUUGGAACCAGCCGCGUAAUUAAAAGCCGCGCUCUCCUCCUCGUUCCCCCGAACGAGCGACCCAUACAUCUCGCCGUAAACUUUCCAAAUAAUUAUACCGAGUAUUAUUUAAUUCAAGUAAUGACUACCGUGGCGAGACCGAAUGCUGUAACACAACAGGGCCGAAACAGAGGAAUGGAAGGGUGGAGGAGGACGUAAGACGAGAGAAGUAAGAUUUGUCCUGGAUCUUAAACUCGCGUCUCUCUUCCACGCCUCCCUCCUCCCUCUCCUCACUCCUCUCUCUGCUCGCGUGAAUAAUUCGCACGUAAGACGAAUUUCACGUUCCCGCGAGACUAAGCGUAUAUACACGAUCUUUUUCAUCGAACACCAUCGCCGAGUUUCCGUGAAACACGCCACCCUUCCCCCUCUCCCUCCGUCUCUCUCUCUCGGUAUUAUAUCGAGGCGCGAGAUGUGUCAGAAGACACGAGGAGAGAUGCUGCGCACGGGGGAGGACGAGAAUGAACACCAGUGAACAACCGGGCUGGUUUGCACGUAGCAAUUUACGGAAACCGCACGUAACUCGCGUUCGAGGCGGAGGGACGAGGUGAAGUCGACACGGAGCGUUUCCACGGAGUGUUACGUAACGGAUCGGCGCUAGAUCGCCGGCCAGAGUAACUGUAUUUUCGAAGAAGAGGCCUCUCCUUGGCCGAGGAGGAAAUCACGAAGCAGAACUUCGCCUCUGGGACCGGGAUGGCGGCGUGUGGGCCUUCUAUUCUUCCCAUUUUUCCAUCACACCGAUACCUACGGUUUCUUUCGAACCGGUGGUAGUGGAUAGAAGGUUGCUGUUGAUUAGCGAUCGAAAGAUUAGUUCUAUUAUAAUAUCGAUCGAUCGAUGGAGGAGCAAAGGUGGAGGAAUGUUAUGCUUCGUUGUAUGCUAAUGCAGGUGUGUGGUAAGAAGCGUGUCUGAAGAUUGAUUGGGUAUUUUGUUUGAAGGUAAGAUAUAUUUGUUAUUAUAAAUUGUCGAACUAAAUGUUCGAAUUUAAAUUUAAAUGUGAAUUUUAAAUUCAGAGGUUUGGAAUGUUACGAGUAAAGUAUUUUUUGAAGGUAUCUGCAUAGAUACUGAAGAUUUUUUUAACGAAAGUAGAUAGUAGCAUCUUGAUGCACUUUAUACAAACUGUAAUUUACGAUUGUUCGUCGAUUAUAUUCCUAGUUUAAUUUUUUUCAAGAUGAUCAAAGCGUACCAGGAACUGGACAAGCGAAGGACAUUAAUAAGUAGUCGAUAAUAAAGCUUGAUACAAAAUAGAUAGUAUAACUCCUUCGGUAUUAUAAUUUUUCUAUUGCUCUAUAGUGCACAUACGAUUAUUUCGUUUUCGCAUUCAGCGAUCAAUUGAAACGAUCGAUGAUUACACCGAUGACUAAUCUUUUUCGCCAUUACUCGGUGAAGACUCGAGUAGAAAUCCUUCGUUUUCCAGAUCCAUGCAAUCACAUAUUAUUUUUCACGAUAUUCAAUUAACGUGGAAUCGUUGAAAAAUGCUGCGAACACCGCGAGAUAUUUGCAAUUUUCUCGACGAAUUAUUAAAAAGAAAAAUGACCCCGAUCUAUUCCUAAACAAAAAAUCCGCUCAAUUCCAGUCUUGAACUUUAAAAAAUUUAAUCUCAGAAAUUGGAUUCUCUCACGAAUCUCCAUCUCUCUCGAUCUCCACCAUAAAAGAAAAUCAUCUCUUUGCACAGAGGAACAACGAAUCGACGAAUCGACAGACGAUGAAACGAAAAGAACCGGAAGAAGGUCGAAAGCGGAAGUUGCAUGGGCAACAACUAGCGAACAAUGCGCGUGUCCCAGUCGUUUAAUAACCCUGAUUUGUCGUUUAUACGGGACGUAAUGGAGAACAACAGAGAUAGGAACGAAGAGACAGAAACAGAAACGAACGACAGACGAUGAGGAAGAGAGAAAGAAAGAGAGACGAGCGGAACAUAGUAGAGGAGAGAAGGGGUGGUGGCGAUGAUGGGAUGAGAGGGUGAGCAUCGAGAUCGCGCGCAACAACCGUACAUAAUCACGUAAUGCGGUUAUCAUGCCAAUUGCGUAAAUAUUUGAGCCAAUUUGUGGCAUGCAACCGAGUCUCUCUCUCUCUCUCUCUCUCUCUCUCUCUCUCUCUCUCUCCUCGACCCGUGCACUGCUUCACGAGACCGCCACCCGAUCGGCGACCUAUUUAGCGAACAACUUGUUGUCGCUGUUCGCCAUCCUCUGUGAAUCUCUCUUCCCUCUCUCUUUCAUUACUUUCCACGAUGCCCACGGUAUCCUGUCCUCGUCGCACGUUUGCACGAGGGAUAAUAAUUCGACGGUGCCGCCGAAACGCAUUUCGACCCAGCGGCCUCGCCACCACUCCUACGAUCGACAAUGGGACACAACCGCGAUACUCUCGUGCUCUUACAUUCGCAUGCACACGGGGACAUGGGAGCGGAUCGAUCGCUCGACGCGAUAAAAAGCUUUGGGAAUUGCCAGGGUCGAUAUUUCUUUUUAGGAUAUUCUUUUUGUGGGAGGAGAGGGAUUGGGAGUGUUUCUCUCGUAAUUUGGUAAUGGACUUGAUUCGUUUGGGAUGCGUGGUAUAUAUGGAGGAAGUAAAUGCGACGUGUUAUAUCUUCCGUGGAAUCUUCAUAGUAUAGUAAUAGUUCUUCGUGUAAUUUGGUAUACAAGGAUAGUUGGAAAUUUCACUGAGUGAGAAGAAAAUCUUUUACGAGAGAAGAAAGUUUCACAAACUUGAAGGAAUCCACGUAUGAUUUGAAUUAUUCGGGAUUAAUUCGGGAGAAUUUUACAUCUCACGAUUCGAGGAAUUGGUCAGUAAUGAAACUCGUCUCUUCUCGUGUUUAAAUCUACGCAAAAAACUACUUCGGUAGAAGGUUUCAUCUUAAUCCCUCCUCCCAUAAAACGAAAGAUCUUUAUUCACUCUUCCAGAAAUUCUGUGUAAUGCCCUGAAAUGAGGAGAGAUCUGGAAGGAUGCAGUUGAAUUAGGGAAGAGGGCGAGGAAGAGAGUAGAGGAGGGUAGGAAGGUGAGAGGAACUGGCUGCUCCGUCCGAAGCUUUUUCCACGCAGGGUAAUUCGCCGCCGGUAAGUGUAGGCCCUGGUUCCUGGUUCCUGCUCCGUUUCACCCUGCGAGAGGGGCCCGUGGCUUUCACUCCCGAUAUUCUGCGUGUGCGCGCUCGCCUCGACCGUGUCUCUGUCCGUGUGCCGCCUUCUCAUCCCUGCAGGUAGAACUGGCGGCCGGGCAUGGAUCAAUUAGGAGAACGUACAAGUGUAGGACCUCGUAAACCUGCCGGCCGGACUUCCCUCGGGAUACGGCUCGUGUGAAAAAAAGGAAAAAGAAGAAAAAAAAAA